This 287-nucleotide long non-coding RNA is filed under the name Mytilus galloprovincialis (Mediterranean mussel). Lineage: Eukaryota; Metazoa; Mollusca; Bivalvia; Mytilida; Mytilidae. The record is from RNAcentral.
AAUGAAGCAUGCCAACAAACCACAACUACUGAUUCAUUGGAUGAAUGCAACGGUUUCUUAUCUUUAUUCUCGCGUUUUCGCAGAAACAAAGUAAAAUACUAACAGUCGCCAAACAAACUGUCAGCACGCAGCAAAUAACAAUACCCGCUAUUUGACCAGGUUUUAAUUUAUCAGCUUCUGCAAUGUAAAAUCAUGCAUAUUAGAAAGUUAGCAUAACAUAAUUUCGAUCUGAUAAAUAUAACCAUAAUGCACAUUUUUUUUUUAUUUCAAUCAAAUCUUUUUUUUUU